CCUACGGGUGGCAGCAGUCGAGAAUCAUUCACAAUGGGGGAAACCCUGAUGGUGCGACGCCGCGUGGGGGAAUGAAGGUCUUCGGAUUGUAAACCCCUGUCAUGUGGGAGCAAAUUAAAAAGAUAGUACCACAAGAGGAAGAGACAGCUAACUCUGUGCCAGCAGCCGCGGUAAUACAGAGGUCUCAAGCGUUGUUCGGAAUCACUGGGCGUAAGGCGUGCGUAGGCUGUUUCGUAAGUCGUGUGUGAAAGGCGCGGGCUCAACCCGCGGACGGCACAUGAUACUGCGAGACUAGAGUAAUGGAGGGGGAACCGGAAUUCUCGGUGUAGCAGUGAAAUGCGUAGAUAUCGAGAGGAACACUCGUGGCGAAGGCGGGUUCCUGGACAUUAACUGACGCUGAGGCACGAAGGCCAGGGGAGCGAAAGGGAUUAGAUACCCGUGUAGUC
RNAcentral lists this ribosomal RNA (446 nucleotides) under uncultured bacterium. RNAcentral describes it as "partial 16S ribosomal RNA". It matches the Rfam family "Bacterial small subunit ribosomal RNA", at positions 338 to 795 of the family's 1533-position model. The record is from RNAcentral.